Molecule: ribosomal RNA, 1001 nt
Filed under: Neobacillus drentensis
Lineage: Bacteria; Bacillati; Bacillota; Bacilli; Caryophanales; Bacillaceae
Description: bacterial SSU rRNA
Rfam family: Bacterial small subunit ribosomal RNA
Source: RNAcentral
CGUGCGGGCGUGCUAUACAUGCAGUCGAGCGGACGGAUGGGAGCUUGCUCCCUGAAGUCAGCGGCGGACGGGUGAGUAACACGUGGGCAACCUGCCUGUAAGACUGGGAUAACUUCGGGAAACCGGAGCUAAUACCGGAUAAUGCACAGCCUCUCAUGAGGCUAUGCUGAAAGAUGGUUUCGGCUAUCACUUACAGAUGGGCCCGCGGCGCAUUAGCUAGUUGGUGAGGUAACGGCUCACCAAGGCAACGAUGCGUAGCCGACCUGAGAGGGUGAUCGGCCACACUGGGACUGAGACACGGCCCAGACUCCUACGGGAGGCAGCAGUAGGGAAUCUUCCGCAAUGGACGAAAGUCUGACGGAGCAACGCCGCGUGAGUGAUGAAGGUUUUCGGAUCGUAAAACUCUGUUGUCAGGGAAGAACAAGUGCCGGAGUAACUGCCGGCACCUUGACGGUACCUGACCAGAAAGCCACGGCUAACUACGUGCCAGCAGCCGCGGUAAUACGUAGGUGGCAAGCGUUGUCCGGAAUUAUUGGGCGUAAAGCGCGCGCAGGCGGUCUCUUAAGUCUGAUGUGAAAGCCCACGGCUCAACCGUGGAGGGUCAUUGGAAACUGGGGGACUUGAGUGCAGAAAAGGAAAGUGGAAUUCCCGGUGUAGCGGUGAAAUGCGUAGAGAUGUGGAGGAACACCAGUGGCGAAGGCAACUUUCUGGUCUGUAACUGACGCUGAGGCGCGAAAGCGUGGGGAGCAAACAGGAUUAGAUACCCUGGUAGUCCACGCCGUAAACGAUGAGUGCUAAAUGUUAGAGGGUUUCCGCCCUUUAGUGCUGCAGCAAACGCAUUAAGCACUCCGCCUGGGGAGUACGGCCGCAAGGCUGAAACUCAAAGGAAUUGACGGGGGCCCGCACAAGCGGUGGGAGCAUGUGGUUUUAUUUCGAAGCAACGCGGAGAAACCUUACCAGGUCUUGGCAUCUCCCGGACAACCCCUAAAAAAAGGGGGUUU